AGGCAGCAGCAGGGAAUAUUGCACAAUGGGCGAAAGCCUGAUGCAGCGACGCCGCGUGCGGGAUGAAGGCCUUCGGGUUGUAAACCGCUUUCAGGAGGGACGAAAAUGACGGUACCUCCAGAAGAAGGCCCGGCCAACUACGUGCCAGCAGCCGCGGUAAUACGUAGGGGCCAAGCGUUGUCCGGAUUUAUUGGGCGUAAAGGGCUCGUAGGCGGUUUAGUAAGUCAAUCGUGAAAUGUCGGGGCUCAACCCCGAGACUGCGGUCGAAACUGCUAUGACUAGGGUCCGGUAGAGGUGAGUGGAAUUCUCGGUGUAGCGGUGAAAUGCGCAGAUAUCGAGAGGAACACCAGUAGCGAAGGCGGCUCACUGGGCCGGUACCGACGCUGAGGAGCGAAAGCGUGGGGAGCAAACAGGAUUAGAUACCCUGGUAGUCCACGCCGUAAACGUUGAACACUAGGUGUGGCGGACUUAUCCACGUCUGCCGUGCCGACGCUAACGCAUUAAGUGUUCCGCCUGGGGAGUGCGGCCGCAAGGCUAAAACUCAAAUGAAUUGACGG
RNAcentral lists this ribosomal RNA (557 nucleotides) under uncultured Actinomycetes bacterium. Its description in RNAcentral is "bacterial SSU rRNA". It matches the Rfam family "Bacterial small subunit ribosomal RNA", at positions 346 to 916 of the family's 1533-position model. Lineage: Bacteria; Bacillati; Actinomycetota; Actinomycetes. The record is from RNAcentral.